This 486-nucleotide ribosomal RNA is filed under the name uncultured bacterium. RNAcentral describes it as "partial 16S ribosomal RNA". It matches the Rfam family "Bacterial small subunit ribosomal RNA", at positions 28 to 507 of the family's 1533-position model. The record is from RNAcentral.
GAUGAACGCUAGCGGCAGGCUUAACACAUGCCAGUCGAGGGGCAGCGCGGGAUAGCAAUAUCCUGGCGGCGACCGGCGGAAGGGUGCGUAACGCGUGAGCGACAUGCCCGUUGCCCGGGGACAACCGGUGGAAACGCCGACUAAUCCCCGAUGGGAUACGAUGCUUCAUGGCAUUGUAUUGAAAGUUACGGCGGCGACGGAUUGGCUCGCGUCCGAUUAGCUGGUUGGCGGGGUAACGGCCCACCAAGGCUGCGAUCGGUAGGGGUUCUGAGAGGAAGGCCCCCCACAAUGGGACUGAGACACGGCCCACACUCCUACGGGAGGCAGCAGUGAGGAAUAUUGGUCAAUGGGCGGAAGCCUGAACCAGCCAUGCCGCGUGCGGGAAGGAGGCCCUAUGGGCUGUGAACCGCUUUUGCCUGGGGGCAAUAAGGGCGUCGCGCACGUCCGAUGAGAGUACCAGGCGAAUAAGCAUCGGCUAACUCCGUG